Molecule: long non-coding RNA, 249 nt
Filed under: Amborella trichopoda
Lineage: Eukaryota; Viridiplantae; Streptophyta; Magnoliopsida; Amborellales; Amborellaceae
Description: long non-coding RNA (ATRI_LNC004318)
Source: RNAcentral
GAUGAGAGAUCGACGGGUGAUGUCGGUAGGUCUAAAAGGGUUGCUCGAUUGAGUUUUGAGAAGGGUAAUUAUGUGUCUAAAACUUUGUCUGGAACUUUGUGACAACUCUUAUUAGUACAAUUGAUUUAAGUUUGCAAUGCCUGUCGAUGUAGCCUUUUAGGGUAAGGGGCAUGAAUCUUUGUGUUCUUGUGGUAUGUGUCUUAUGCUUUACUUGUCGUGCUUCUAUUAUGAUUUGUAUUUGCCUAUUUU